Diachasmimorpha longicaudata is the source of this 1541-nucleotide long non-coding RNA. RefSeq lists it as uncharacterized. The transcript is spliced from 4 exons. The record is from RefSeq and is a predicted model, not a curated record. NCBI's taxonomy places the organism in Eukaryota, Metazoa, Arthropoda, Insecta, Hymenoptera, Braconidae.
UGUAGCCACCACUUCCAUGGUAUUAAAAGAAUAAAACAAGAAAUAAAAAUAAUCAAUCAAAAAUUAAUUUUACCAACUCCAGAUAAAAGUGGCGGUCGGUAAUAUCGCAGGGAAAAUCAAUUGAAGCGGUAAAGUAGGUAGAGAAGUUAUCGGGCAGAGAAAUUCGCAGAGUGGGAGGAAAGUUGGAGGGUCACGCGGAGGAUAUAAAUGGAGUUGCUGACCAGUGGAAACUCCAUUCACUGAUCAGACCGAACUCCUGAACUAGAACCCUGAGAGGCCAAGCGCCGUCUCAACUUGAUGAUCCGGUAAAUCACAGGAAGAUCAGGAACCGGUAAAAGUACAUUUUCCAUACUUCGAAAGAUGGAGGCAGAUUUUGAUGGUCACCCCCCUGGAUGUCGGUGCCAGUUACGCGGCCUCCAUUCAACCCCCUUCCACCCUCGAGUUGAUCCUCGAGGAGUAAACCCUAUCUAAUUGAGAGGCGUCCUGUUCUCUCUACAUUUUCGGGCCGGGAAGGAUCAUUGCCCGCGGUUAAUUCACUUAGAAACUUUCGCAAUCAGACCAGCGUUGGUGCACUACGGGCGGCGCUUUUAAUAUAAUUUCAUGGUGAAGUGGAGAAUAUAUAGAAGACAUCGCUGUAUUCGGCAGGGACGUGCAAAACGCCAUAAUACCUCAUAAUCUAUAGAGUGAGCGUUAACAUCUUCCUUUUCAAUGAGAAAUAAAUCUCACGAUAUCCCGUAUUUUUUUGCUGAAUUUCGCGAGAGUUGGCAUCAUUUUUUUUCUCUUCGUAAAAGGGUAUUUUCUAUGACGUUUACAUUUGAUUAUUUGAAAAAAUUACAAGUGUUUUUCUUAGAUCGUAGCUGCCAAAAUAACAUGGAACAAGGAUUAUGCUCAGUCUAAAAUAUAUAAAUCUACUUACACGGAGAGAAAAAUUCGUGAAAAAUUACGCCUGUUCCGUAAUCUGGCAGUUGAAAUAAUAUUCGGUAAAAAUUACGGAACAGUUACGCACUUUCUAGUGAACUUUCAGGAAAAAGUCCAUACAAGUCUCCGUACUUCGAUUGUUCUUCCAAUAAAUUACAUUAAACCUGAACUGAAAUGACGCACUUUUACUGCAGUAAAAUUGGACCAGAAAAAGCCCUUCAACUCCUAUUUUAUUUUUUAUUUCAACCGAUAUCAAAACUGAAAUAUCUUCAAACAAAAUAAUAAUUAAUACUGCAGUAUUUAUUGUUUGCCGUGCAAUCAGUCCUAUAGACCAUCACGAUAUUCAAUCACAGAAACCGUUUGAUUCUCGGUACCAGCGUGGAUAUAUGGAAAAUUGGAUUGAUAAGGGCGGACUGUGUGUAGAGGAAGAGGGUAAAUGAGAGUACGAGUCCAACGAAUACCACUCGUACCACCGACAAACGAGGAUUCGCAAACCUAUGAAGUGUGAAACUCGUCGAGCUGUGAUUUAUGAAUGCAUUCACCUGGAUGAUGAGCAUGACAGUGAGUCCAACGUUGAGUGUCAUUUGUAGGAGACCAGGUACUCCGGCUCGUGUGGUUCCAAU